This 505-nucleotide ribosomal RNA is filed under the name uncultured bacterium. RNAcentral describes it as "bacterial SSU rRNA". It matches the Rfam family "Bacterial small subunit ribosomal RNA", at positions 28 to 527 of the family's 1533-position model. The record is from RNAcentral.
GAUGAACGUUGGCGGUGUGCCUAAUACAUGCAAGUCGAACGGAGACUGUAGCAAUACUGUCUUAGUGGCGAACGGGUGAGUAACGCGUUGGUGAUCUGCCUCGAAGUGUGGAAUAACCUCCCGAAAGGGAAGCUAAUACCGCAUAGUCUCUCAAGGUUUAGAAAAUUGAGAGUAAAGGAUUUAUUCGCUUCGAGAGGAGCCUGCGUCCCAUCAGCUAGUUGGUAGGGUAACGGCCUACCAAGGCAUCGAUGGGUAGCCGAGCUGAGAGGUUGAUCGGCCACACUGGAACUGAGACACGGUCCAGACUCCUACGGGAGGCAGCAGUAGGGAAUAUUGGACAAUGGGCGCAAGCCUGAUCCAGCCAUGCCGCGUGAGUGAAGAAGGCCCUCGGGUUGUAAAGCUCUUUUGUCCGGAAAGAAAAGCGCCGGGUUAAUACCCUGGUGUCCUGACGGUACCGGAAGAAUAAGCAUCGGCUAACUUCGUGCCAGCAGCCGCGGUAAGCACG